UAAAAUGUAUAAGUGUUUCAAUAUUAUUUGAAAAAAUUAUUAAUAGCAAGAACAUUUUUUAAAACUUCCAAUACAUAACAAAAUUUAUUUGUAUACUUCUGUAUGAUACUCUAUCGAGGUAUAAAAUAUGAAAAUUAACUAUAUUUUAUAAAAUAUUGCUCUAAACGUUUAUACGUAUUUAUACCAACCCGAUCUCGACUCACGGGUGAGUUUCAUUUGUCAUUGAAAAUUUCCAAAUUCAAAUUUCGAGACUUUUUGUGCUAAGGAAUUAUUUUUGCUUUGAAGAACAAGGCGUGGGGAUAUAGCUUCCAUUGCGCGGGAAAAACCUGAGGUGACAAUCCAAUCGGCACCAGAACUUGAGCGGUCCCAAAACUCCAACUCGCCAUCGAGUUCUCGAGCUUCCUUUCAGAUCGAAUUGUAUCAAAUCUCUCUUCAGCGACCAGCUAAGAUGCUGCAUCUGUGUUGAAUCCAGCGGAAUUGCCGAUGAUUCCACCAAGAAAUGCAAAUCCAGGUAAUUCAUUUUGUUCACUUUGAACGGCCGAUGAGCUACUAGUGAUGCGAUUUCUAUUCCGUCAAAAAGUAGGACAAAAUCCGUCUUUGAAAAGCCUGCGUGUGCUUUAGCAUUUUGAUUCUCGGCUCGGACGACGAUCUUCAUUUGGACUUCAAGCAAUCCGGUUCUACUGCUUCGGAUUCUUUCAAGAUGACCGUCGGUUACACUGAUUGACGGUACCCUAGGGCGGAUCGUAACAUAGCCGAUGAAGAUGACGAUGCCUGCUAUGAUUACUGCAAGAGCUAUGGUGGCGCAGAUUAUGCCGGCGAUCCAAAUUAGAGGAUGAGUAUGUCGCUUUAGACUGGAUAGGAAAUUUGGUGGCAUUUGAGAUCGAUGCAAUUUCUCAUAAACUAAUGACAGUAGUGAGUGAAAAAAAGAAGUACGGGUAUAUCUGGAUUGGCAGCUAAUCUCACUCUUCACCACUUUUGUUGUGUUGCAGAGCUCAAUUUUAGGGAGAAAAACUGAGGAAGGAAUGCACGAUUAUUAAAAAGUUGCAGUGAUGGGCGGAGAAGGUUUUGGUAUAUCUUCCUUGCCCUCUUUUAACGCAUCCAAAUAUAAAAGAAUUACUACUGUUAUAGCAUAUUUGUUAUCUGAGAAUUUAUCCAAAGCUUUGUCGAGUAAUGGUUUCCUUCAAUCAUACUCGCAGAUUUCUUUUUUGAAUGCCCUAUAGUACUAAUGAUAAUCUAAUGAUUAAUUUAAAUUAACAAAAAGAUAAUGUUAAUGAUUGUGUAUACUAUUUAGAUCGGAGUAUAUGUUUUGUCUAGAUUUGCUUAUGGACUAUUUUUGUAGUUCACUUCUAGUUGAAUAUCAUAGAUCCUGUUCUUUUCUGUGCUAUAAAUACUUUGAACUUAAUUAUCGUUGGUAUAUUUUAAAAGUAACUUGUUUAAGUUAACUUGUUUAAUUACUUAAACGAUACAUAAUGUUUGGACCUACUAUGCAACUCAAUUUUUUUUUUUUUCUAACCUAAAAUACCAAACUUACAAUGGAAUUUUUUUAGCUGUUUCCCUUGUAAUCUACACACAACCACCAAUUUGAAG
RNAcentral lists this long non-coding RNA (1587 nucleotides) under Cucumis sativus (cucumber). RNAcentral's name for it is "long non-coding RNA (CSAT_LNC001507)". Lineage: Eukaryota; Viridiplantae; Streptophyta; Magnoliopsida; Cucurbitales; Cucurbitaceae. The record is from RNAcentral.